RNAcentral lists this ribosomal RNA (253 nucleotides) under uncultured bacterium. RNAcentral describes it as "partial 16S ribosomal RNA". It matches the Rfam family "Bacterial small subunit ribosomal RNA", at positions 524 to 776 of the family's 1533-position model. The record is from RNAcentral.
AACGUAGGAGCCUAGCGUUAUCCGAAUUCACUGGGCGUAAAGCGCGUGCAGGCGGUUCGGUAAGUUGGAUGUGAAAUCUCCUGGCUCAACUGGGAGAGGACGUUCAAGACUGUCGGACUAGAGGACGGUAGAGGAAGGUAGAAUUCCCGGUGUAGUUGUGAAAUGCGUAGAUAUCGGGAGGAAUACCAGUGGCGAAGGCGGCCUUCUGGGCCGUUCCUGACGCUCAGACGCGAAAGCUAGGGGAGCAAACGGG